This 253-nucleotide ribosomal RNA is filed under the name uncultured bacterium. RNAcentral describes it as "partial 16S ribosomal RNA". It matches the Rfam family "Bacterial small subunit ribosomal RNA", at positions 524 to 776 of the family's 1533-position model. The record is from RNAcentral.
UACGAAGGGGGCGAGCGUUAUUCGGAAUCACUGGGCGUAAAGCGUGCGUAGGCCGCUCUGAAAGUUAGGAGUGAAAGCCCCAGGCUCAACUUGGGAAUUGCUCUUAAUACUGCAGGGCUAGAAUUCGGGAGAGGAUAGCGGAAUUGUCAGUGUAGCAGUGAAAUGCGUAGAUAUUGACAGGAACACCAGUGGCGUAAGCGGCUAUCUGGACCGACAUUGACGCUGAGGCACGAAAGCGUGGGGAUCAAACAGG